UGGGGAAUAUUGCACAAUGGGCGCAAGCCUGAUGCUGCCAUGCCGCGUGUAUGAAGAAGGCCUUCGGGUUGUAAAGUACUUUCAGCGGGGAGGAAGGCGAUAAGGUUAAUAACCUUGUCGAUUGACGUUACCCGCAGAAGAAGCACCGGCUAACUCCGUGCCAGCAGCCGCGGUAAUACGGAGGGUGCAAGCGUUAAUCGGAAUUACUGGGCGUAAAGCGCACGCAGGCGGUCUGUCAAGUCGGAUGUGAAAUCCCCGGGCUCAACCUGGGAACUGCAUUCGAAACUGGCAGGCUAGAGUCUUGUAGAGGGGGGUAGAAUUCCAGGUGUAGCGGUGAAAUGCGUAGAGAUCUGGAGGAAUACCGGUGGCGAAGGCGGCCCCCUGGACAAAGACUGACGCUCAGGUGCGAAAGCGUGGGGAGCAAACA
This 427-nucleotide ribosomal RNA is filed under the name uncultured bacterium. Its description in RNAcentral is "partial 16S ribosomal RNA". It matches the Rfam family "Bacterial small subunit ribosomal RNA", at positions 355 to 774 of the family's 1533-position model. The record is from RNAcentral.